Molecule: transfer RNA, 71 nt
Filed under: Spirochaetota bacterium
Lineage: Bacteria; Pseudomonadati; Spirochaetota
Description: Spirochaetes bacterium tRNA-Leu
Rfam family: tRNA
About the family: Transfer RNA (tRNA) molecules are approximately 80 nucleotides in length. Their secondary structure includes four short double-helical elements and three loops (D, anti-codon, and T loops).
Source: RNAcentral
AGCCAAAUAGUUCAAUGGGAGAACACCGGCAAUAGAAGCCGCGUACUACGGUUCGAAUCCGUAAUUGGCGA